UACUCACCAAGAUAGUAAUCUUUUAAUCUUGAACUUUCUCGCAGGCCCCACGUCGAAGUACAAAGUGUUCUUUAGGUUUAACACUUGUUGCCACCAUUUUCGUAUUAGGGUUUGAAGCUCUACAAGAUCUAACUUUCUCCACCGUCACCGAUGCUUCCUCCUCGAACGCGAUUGCCUCAUCUUCCACCGGGUUUGCUAGUUCUUCUAUCUCCGGCAGCAGCCUUUGCAUAUCCGUCACCACUUCCGGUGGUAAAACCAUGGGGGUUACAUCAUCUCGCCCUUCCGGAAAGGACUCGACCCCGAGUCUUGCCGAUGGGAAUCGCGUCAACAGGUCCGUCUUUCUCUCCCACGAUGUAUCUUCUUCACUUAACCCAUUCCAUUUUAUUAAAAUCCCUGUUCUUUCUUUUCCUUUCUUUAAAAUAUUUCUUUUUGCCAAAAUGGCUUCCGGGACCACAACGGGAUCGUUGUUGACUGCCAACGAAGGUAACCUGCAAGUUUUUAAAUUUUUACCUUCUCCUCUAAACUUUUUCAGUCUGGACACGUGAAAUACAGGAUGUAUUGUAGAUCAAGCUUCAUUGAUACCUCAUUUACCUUUUUAAUUACAAGAAAUGGACCAUAAUAUUUUUGUGCAAGCUUGUGAUGAAGACCCAUUUUCAGAGAUGCUUGUUUAUAUGGUUGCAAUCUUACCAAGACUAGAUCUCCCACUUCAAAAGUUAUAGGUGUUCUUCUUUUAUCUGCUGCCUUCUUCAUUUUAUUUUGUGCUUUUUGUAAAUUUAUUUUUACUAAUUUCAGUCCGGCGUCUCCACUCCUUGUCAACUGCAACAACUUUAGAUGAACAGGGAAUGUAGCUUGGAAUAUCAGGAGACUCUCUCCCGUACAAUACCUUGAAGGGACUCAUUCCUAAAGACGUGUGGUAGCAGCUGUUAUACCACAGCUCUGCCCAAGGUAAAAUAUCUAACCACUGUCUUGGCUUGUUGUGUAUGUUUGCUCUCAUGUAAUGUUCAAUAGUUUUAUUAACUAUCUCUGUUUGUCCAUCUGAUUGCGGAUGGUAAGCAGAAGAUAGAGAUAAUUUGCAACCAUUCACUCGGUUAAGCUCUUUCCAGAAUUGACCAGUGAAUACCUUAUCCCGGUCUGAGACUAUUGACCGUGGAAACCCAUGUAAUUUGAUGAUGUGAUGAAUGAAAUAAUUUGCAACACUUGUUGCAGUGUAGGACGACGGUAGUGCCCCUACAUGAACAAAUUUGGACAAACUGUCCACCACGACAAUAAUAACACUUUUUUCCUUCAUUAAUGGCAAACCUGUGAUAAAAUCAACAGAAAUGUCUUGCCAAACCGCCUCCGGAAUUGGUAACGGUAUUAAUAACCCAUAUUGCUUAAUAUUAUCGGUUGGCAAAUAAUGCAAGUAGCAACAUAUUCUUUAAUCUGAGAAUUCAUACCUUCCCAUAAAAAUGAAUUUUGAAUCCGCUUGGUAGUUUUUUCACAACCUGUAUGUCCAUCCAUAUAUGAAUUAUGUAGAGACUCCAUAAUUGUUUCUGUUAACUCCGAACCUUUGGGAAUCCAGAUUCUGUCUUUAAAAAAUAUUAAUCCAUUCACCAUUCUGUAAUCAUCACUUGAUAAUCUCCCUGCUUCAAUCUCCUUUUGAUUUUUUUUCCCCAGCCUUGGUCUAACAACUCUGAUUUCAGAAUAUGAAUAAUAUUAUCCUUAUGACCUUUAAAUGAUAACAUCAUACCUUCGGUCUGUUCUGAUGGUAUUUCUUCUUCUUCAAACCUUCACGAUAAUCCAUUUGCUGCUGAAUUCUCGAUCCCUGGUUUAUAAAUAAUUUCAAAGUCAUAUCCCAAUAGUUUAUAUAGAAAUUCUUGUUGUUCUGGAGUUUGAAUAAUUUGAGUUAACAGAUUCUUCAAACUUCUAUGGUCCGUUUUUAUAGUGAAAUGUCUGCCAAGUAGAUAAUGACACCAUUUCCCUACUGCUUGAGUGAUAGCAAAUAACUCUCGAGCAUAUGUGGAAGCCAUUCUCCUCCGACCUGUCAAUUUCUUGCUAAAAUAGGCUAAGGGGUGCCCUUCCUGCAUUAAUACUGCUCCAAUACCUGUUUGUGAUGCAUCUGUUUCCACCACAAAUAUAGUUUCAAAAUUAGGAUAGCUUAAGACAGGUGCAGCCAACAUUGCUUUUUUUAAAGUUGCAAAACUUUUAGUAGCACCCUCAUUCCACAAGAACUCAUUCUUCUUAAGUAAUUCUGUCAUUGGAUGUGCAAUGCUAGCAUAGCUCUUAAUGAAACGUCUAUAAUAUCAGAAUAGUUUUUUAAUAACUCCUCCUGUUCCACAGAAUAAUCCCCAUUUUUCGAACUAUUAAUAAUAGAAUUUACUGUUGACAUUUCGAUCUGCACGAUAUACACCUUAAAAUAACAGCACGAUAUAGAUCUGAAUCAAUAUAAAUUCGUAGCAAUUAUUUUUAGGUAAAAUACUUUCCUGUUUGGGAUCUAGUCAAGGGCUAGAACAUCCCUUGAAAUAUUGAUUGAAUUCUUUACGUCGUUCCCGACCGAGAUCCCUUGCCAAUGAUCGUCUGUCCGCAAGAGAGAGAACCCGAUUGAAAGCACCAAUGUAAUCAGAUAGAAAACCAACCACUUGCUCUUCACUGAAAUUAAUAAAAUAUGCUAAAACUUGGAGAGUUAAUCCUCCCCUUGUAGCCGACGGCUAGGGUUUAAAAAACCAAAUUCUUAGCUACCAAAUUAUCUAGGGUUAUGUCUUAUAUAAGACAUCCAUUACAAUUUAUUAAACCACACUAAGGCCCACUCGAAUUGGCCCGUUACUCACCAAGAUAGUAAUCUUUUAAUUUUGAACUUGGUACUUUCUCGCGGGCCCCACGUCGAAGUAUAAAGUGUUAUUUAGGUUUAACACUUGCUGCCACCAUUUCUGUAUUAGGGUUUGAAGCUCCACAAGAUCUAACUUUCUCCACCGUCACCGAUGCUUUCUCCUCGAACGUGACUAUCUCAUCUUCCACCUGGUCUGCUAGUUCUUCUAUCUCCGGCAGCAGCCUUUGCAUAUCCGUCACCACUUCCGGUGGUAAAACCAUGGGGGUUACACCCUAUAAAAGGGGUCCUUGGGGGUCCUCCACUCUCAAGUCAUUCACCCUUGACUCACACUCCAACCAGAGAAAACCAAGGAGCCCGAGUCGUCGACUGCCACGUGAGUCGCCGAUUCCCCUCCACUUCUGCAGGUACAUUGACGUAGAGCGCGCGUCGUGGACUCCAAAGCCUCCGGCCCUCCUCGCAACCCUGCGAGCCUACUGGUAGCAGAUGUCGUGCUUCAUCAGAUAACAAAAUGAAUGUGGUAGGAAGUAAAUGGGUCUAUAAAAUCAAAACCAAAGCUGAUGGAUCUAUAGAUAGAUUUAAAGCAAGAUUAGUGGCAAAGGGGUAUAUAUAGUCAAGAAGAAGGUGUUGACUACACCUCAACCUAUAGCCCUUUAAUUAGAAUAAGCACAGUAAGAGUCAUUGUGUCCAUAGCCGUGACAGAAAACUGGGAACUAAGACAAUUAGAUGUUAGGAAUGCGUUCCUGAAUGGGCAUUUAAAAUGAAACUGUCUAAAUGAAACAACCGGUGGGUUUUGUAGACAAAGAUCGUCCUAAGCAUGUUUGUAUGCUGAACAAAGCCCUAUAUGGUUUAAAGCAAGCUCUUAGAGCCUGAUACUCAAGACUUCAAAAUUUUCUGAUUGAGAAUGCAUUUGAGAAUAGUGGAUCAGAUUCAUCUUUAUUCUUCAAGAUUACAACAAAACAUGAGCAGUUGUUCUCCUGCCAGAACUCCACUACCUUUGUCUCCAAGGCUAACAAAGAAACUAGGUAAGCCCAUAGAAGAACCUAAGGUCUACAGAAGCAUUAUAGGGUUUUUACAGUAUCUGACACUAACAAGACCGGACAUUUCAUUUUAUGUAAAUCAUUCAAGUCGGUUUCUUAAAGAACCUACUGAAGUUCAUUUACAAUCAGCAAAAAGAAUACUGAGAUAUCUUAAGGGUACUAUGAAUUUAGGGUUGAGAUUCACACCAUCAAACAAACCAGUAAAUACCCUAGUAGCCUAUUGUGAUUCUGAUUGGGGAACUAAUCCUGAUGAUAGAAUCUCAAUAUCAGGGGUUAGUCUCUGGUAUGGAGGGAAUCUAGUGAGCUGGUCUGCUAAAAAAACAAGACACAGUGACAAGAUCAAGUUGUGAAUCAGAAUACAAAGUUUUGGCAAGGAUUGUGUCACAAGUAAAGUGGUUCUGUCGAUUAUUGAGAGAAUUAGACAUUAGACUAGCUUCUUCCUCUUUGGUUCUAUGUGACAAUAAAUCAACUAUUUUUUUGGCUAAAAAUCCCUCUUCCUCAGGGAGGACUAGGCAUAUGGAUAUUUGACACCACUUUGUGAGAGAAUUAGUCAACAAAUAUGCCAUCAGGAUAGAAUACAUUCCAUCUGAUGAACAACUUGGAGAUAGUUUCACAAAAAUCUUGGGUAGUGAAUUAUUUUAUAGACAUAGAAUAAGACAUAAAAUAGUACCUGUUGAACUUAAUCAAGGAAAGAACAAAAUACUUUAGGUAUAUUCAAAUGAAAUAUAUAUAUGAAUAAAUAAACAAAAAAUAAUUAUAGAUUUAGGAUAGGAAUAAACUAAUCUUGAUAUGGUCUUGAUAAAAUACAUAGAUAAUUUUAAUAUAUUUACAUAUAUAGUUGCUAGUUGUUUGGUACGUGUUUGUUUAAAUUUCAGAGAAUCUCACAUGCAUGAUCAUGGUUGAAUUUGCAAAGUAAAAAUUGAUCUACUAACAAUAUAGUUGUAAUGGUGGUAUAUAUUUGUAUUGCAGGAGAACUGAUAAUGCAAAACUUGAGGUUAUACUAAGCAAAGAAAAGGUAGAUGACCUAAAGAAAGGUUUUUCCCAGAAAAAAAACAAUCACUGGGUUUUUUAACCCCUCUUUUGCUCAGCUACACUUCUAAUUAAGCUACUCAAAACUGUGAAGAAAUAAGGAUGCUGAUAUGUCAAGAAGAUAUUAGUACUAUAUUGUCUCCUAACAAUAAAUUUAAGAUUUCUAAAAUUAAAUGUUUGAGGGGGAAUGUAAAGACAAAAAUAUAAUUAACCCCUUAAUGACAGUCGGGUAAUAAAAUAGUGUUAAGUGGACAUUUAUAUUAGUAUGUAUUAUUUAAAUAUAAGAAAUGAAUUAUUGUAACUUACGG
This 5180-nucleotide long non-coding RNA is filed under the name Zostera marina. RNAcentral's name for it is "long non-coding RNA (ZMAR_LNC005499)". Lineage: Eukaryota; Viridiplantae; Streptophyta; Magnoliopsida; Alismatales; Zosteraceae. The record is from RNAcentral.